RNAcentral lists this transfer RNA (72 nucleotides) under Stegodyphus mimosarum. It matches the Rfam family "tRNA". Rfam says of the family: Transfer RNA (tRNA) molecules are approximately 80 nucleotides in length. Their secondary structure includes four short double-helical elements and three loops (D, anti-codon, and T loops). Further hydrogen bonds mediate the characteristic L-shaped molecular structure. tRNAs have two regions of fundamental functional importance: the anti-codon, which is responsible for specific mRNA codon recognition, and the 3' end, to which the tRNAs corresponding amino acid is attached (by aminoacyl-tRNA synthetases). tRNAs cope with the degeneracy of the genetic code in two manners: having more than one tRNA (with a specific anti-codon) for a particular amino acid; and 'wobble' base-pairing, i.e. permitting non-standard base-pairing at the 3rd anti-codon position. Lineage: Eukaryota; Metazoa; Arthropoda; Arachnida; Araneae; Eresidae. The record is from Rfam by way of RNAcentral.
GCCUUCGUGGUGCAAUGGUCAGCACACUCGGCCCGCAUUCGAGAAGUCCGAGGUUCAAGUCUGGCGAGGGCA